This 733-nucleotide small RNA is filed under the name Pan troglodytes (chimpanzee). RNAcentral describes it as "retained intron". The record is from RNAcentral. Lineage: Eukaryota; Metazoa; Chordata; Mammalia; Primates; Hominidae.
CAGCAAACGGCCGGCGGCGGGUGCCGCGCGGGGGGCGGGCGGCGCGGAGUAGGUGGCGGCGGCCAUGGCCGAGGCGUCGCCGCAUCCCGGACGGUACUUCUGCCACUGCUGCUCCGUGGAGAUCGUCCCGCGCCUGCCGGAUUAUAUCUGUCCAAGAUGCGAGUCUGGUUUUAUCGAGGAGCUUCCGGAAGAGACCAGGAGCACAGAAAAUGGUUCUGCCCCCUCCACAGCUCCCACAGACCAGAGCCGGCCACCGUUGGAGCACGUGGACCAGCACCUGUUCACGCUGCCGCAGGGCUACGGACAGUUUGCUUUCGGCAUCUUCGAUGACAGCUUCGAGAUCCCCACGUUCCCUCCUGGGGCGCAGGCUGACGACGGCAGGGACCCUGAGAGCCGGCGGGAGAGAGACCAUCCGUCCCGGCACCGGUACGGCGCCCGACAGCCCCGCGCCCGCCUCACCACGCGGCGGGCCACCGGCCGGCACGAAGGCGUCCCCACGCUGGAAGGGUGAGGGGGCCCCGGGGGUGGCCGCGAGGGCCCCACGCCGUGAGGUCGGAAGUUCUGGCGCUUAGAAUCCAGCACGGGUUCCACGGAAACGUGGCAUCAUCCAUAGGCUCUCUGGAGAGGCCGCCCGGCCAGGCGCUCCAGCCCCCUGUGACUCCCCACACGGCCCUUCGGAGACAGAAGUAUGCCGGUUCAGGGUGUGUGGGUUGACCACAGAGUGGGGCACCGU